Non-coding RNA from Mycena olivaceomarginata, 91 nucleotides. NCBI's taxonomy places the organism in Eukaryota, Fungi, Basidiomycota, Agaricomycetes, Agaricales, Mycenaceae. The record is from the annotation of a GenBank genome assembly.
GCAUUAAUGGGGUAGUGGUAACCUGGGUCGUUGCCAUAUCGUCACUUGAGUUUAACUCGACCCGCCGGGGGUUCGAUUCCCCCUUAAUGCA